Non-coding RNA from Hamiltosporidium tvaerminnensis, 70 nucleotides. Lineage: Eukaryota; Fungi; Microsporidia; Dubosqiidae. The record is from the annotation of a GenBank genome assembly.
UCGUCAAUGGUCUAGUGGUGAGGAUUCGAAAUAUAUUUUUGAAGCCCAGGUUCGAUCCCCGGUUGGUGGU